Molecule: ribosomal RNA, 1264 nt
Filed under: uncultured prokaryote
Description: partial 16S ribosomal RNA
Rfam family: Bacterial small subunit ribosomal RNA
Source: RNAcentral
AGAGUUUGAUCCUGGCUCAGGAUGAACGCUAGCGGCAGGCUUAACACAUGCAAGUCGAGGGGUAACAGAGGAAAGCUUGCUUUCUUGCUGACGACCGGCGCACGGGUGAGUAACGCGUAUACAAUCUACCUUAUACUAGGGGGUAGCCUUUAGAAAUGAAGAUUAGUACCCUAUAGUCUAUUAAUAUAUAGCAUUAUAUAAAUAGUAAAGGUUACGGUAUAAGAUGAGUAUGCGUCCUAUUAGUUAGUUGGUAAGGUAACGGCUUACCAAGACAACGAUAGGUAGGGGCCCUGAGAGGGGGAUCCCCCACACUGGUACUGAGACACGGACCAGACUCCUACGGGAGGCAGCAGUGAGGAAUAUUGGACAAUGGGCGCAAGCCUGAUCCAGCCAUGCCGCGUGCAGGAAGACGGCCCUAUGGGUUGUAAACUGCUUUUAUACAGGAAGAAACACUCCCUCGUGAGGGAGCUUGACGGUACUGUAAGAAUAAGGACCGGCUAACUCCGUGCCAGCAGCCGCGGUAAUACGGAGGGUCCGAGCGUUAUCCGGAAUCAUUGGGUUUAAAGGGUCCGUAGGUGGAUAAUUAAGUCAGAGGUGAAAUCCUGCAGCUCAACUGUAGAAUUGCCUUUGAAACUGGUUAUCUUGAGUUAUUAUGAAGUAGUUAGAAUAUGUAGUGUAGCGGUGAAAUGCAUAGAUAUUACAUAGAAUACCAAUUGCGAAGGCAGAUUACUAAUAAUAUACUGACACUGAUGGACGAAAGCGUGGGUAGCGAACAGGAUUAGAUACCCUGGUAGUCCACGCCGUAAACGAUGGAUACUAGCUGUUCGAUCUUCGGAUUGAGUGGCUAAGCGAAAGUGAUAAGUAUCCCACCUGGGGAGUACGUUCGCAAGAAUGAAACUCAAAGGAAUUGACGGGGGCCCGCACAAGCGGUGGAGCAUGUGGUUUAAUUCGAUGAUACGCGAGGAACCUUACCAGGGCUUAAAUGUAGAUUGACAGGGGUGGAAACACCUUUUCCUUCGGGCAAUUUACAAGGUGCUGCAUGGUUGUCGUCAGCUCGUGCCGUGAGGUGUCAGGUUAAGUCCUAUAACGAGCGCAACCCCUGUUGUUAGUUGCCAGCGAGUCAUGUCGGGAACUCUAACAAGACUGCCAGUGCAAACUGUGAGGAAGGUGGGGAUGACGUCAAAUCAUCACGGCCCUUACGUCCUGGGCCACACACGUGCUACAAUGGCCGGUACAGAGAGCAGCCACUAGGUGACUAGGAGCG